GCGGGCAUCUUCGGGUGUCAGCGGCGGACGGGUGAGUAACGCGUGGGAACGUGCCCUCUGGUUCGGAAUAACUCAGGGAAACUUGAGCUAAUACCGGAUACGCCCUUUUGGGGAAAGGCUUGCUGCCGGAGGAUCGGCCCGCGUCUGAUUAGCUAGUUGGUGGGGUAACGGCCUACCAAGGCGACGAUCAGUAGCUGGUCUGAGAGGAUGAUCAGCCACACUGGGACUGAGACACGGCCCAGACUCCUACGGGAGGCAGCAGUGGGGAAUAUUGGACAAUGGGGGCAACCCUGAUCCAGCCAUGCCGCGUGAGUGAUGAAGGCCUUAGGGUUGUAAAGCUCUUUUAUCCGGGACGAUAAUGACGGUACCGGAGGAAUAAGCCCCGGCUAACUUCGUGCCAGCAGCCGCGGUAAUACGAAGGGGGCUAGCGUUGCUCGGAAUCACUGGGCGUAAAGGGCGCGUAGGCGGCGUUUUAAGUUGGGGGUGAAAGCCUGUGGCUCAACCACAGAAUUGCCUUCGAUACUGGG
Molecule: ribosomal RNA, 527 nt
Filed under: uncultured bacterium
Lineage: Bacteria
Description: bacterial SSU rRNA
Rfam family: Bacterial small subunit ribosomal RNA
Source: RNAcentral